RNAcentral lists this ribosomal RNA (400 nucleotides) under uncultured bacterium. RNAcentral describes it as "bacterial SSU rRNA". It matches the Rfam family "Bacterial small subunit ribosomal RNA", at positions 355 to 746 of the family's 1533-position model. The record is from RNAcentral.
UGGGGAAUCUUGCGCAAUGGGCGAAAGCCUGACGCAGCAAUACCGUGUGAGGGAGGAAGGUCUUCGGAUUGUAAACCUCUGUCGAUUGGGAAAAAUGGUUACGUUUCAAAUAGGUACGUAAUUUGAUGGUACCAAUGAAGGAAGCACCGGCUAACUUCGUGCCAGCAGCCGCGGUAAUACGAAGGGUGCAAGCGUUGUUCGGAAUUAUUGGGCGUAAAGCGCGCGCAGGCGGAAUGAUAAGUCAGAUGUGAAAUCUCGGAGCUCAACUCCGAACGUGCGUCUGAAACUGCCAUUCUAGAGUUGCGGAGAGGGUAGGGGAAUUUCACGUGUAGGGGUAAAAUCCGUAGAGAUGUGAAGGAACACCGGAGGCGAAAGCGCCUACCUGGACGCAUACUGACGC